CAGCUUCAUCAAUUCAUAAAGUAACAGAUUCUUUGUCCCACAACCACAGCACAGAGACUACCAGGCCCAAUUAGAAUCUGGCUGCUAAUCAAGAGUAAACAUCAGCAUGAAUAUAUCAUAUGGC
RNAcentral lists this long non-coding RNA (124 nucleotides) under Monodelphis domestica (gray short-tailed opossum). Its description in RNAcentral is "lncRNA (ENSMODG00000039882.1)". The record is from RNAcentral. Lineage: Eukaryota; Metazoa; Chordata; Mammalia; Didelphimorphia; Didelphidae.